RNAcentral lists this long non-coding RNA (674 nucleotides) under Pan troglodytes (chimpanzee). RNAcentral describes it as "long non-coding RNA NONPTRT012618". The record is from RNAcentral. Lineage: Eukaryota; Metazoa; Chordata; Mammalia; Primates; Hominidae.
GGAGAAGUCAGCUUUCAUAUCACAAAGACACUCAAGCAGCACUGUGAAGAGGCACAGGUGGUAAAACUGAAGACCUUCACAAACAGCCAGCACUAAUUUGCCAACCAAAUGACGGUCUUUGGAAAACAGAUCCUCUGGCCUCAGGUGAAAAAUGAGAAGAUUAAAUAAGCCAUGGGAAGAUUUUUUAAAAUGACAUGAAACUCCAAGGGUAAAAAGUAGGCUGGGAAAUCUUAGGAUGGUGAACCAUCGUGUUUCCUGAGUGUGAAUCCUGUACCUGGUUUGACUGUAGUCACCCCUUCUCCAACACUCUCCACGAUGCCGGCUGCCUCAUGGCCUAAAAUCACAGGAAGUGGGGUCACCAUGGUACCACUAACCACGUGGUCAUCUGUGCCACAGAUUCCUACAGCCACCAUCUACAGAGUGAAGAGAAGAUGUUUAUGAAAGAUUAUGAGUCUCAGGAUGUUCAACAUGAUCAAUGCCAAAAUAAAUAUCAGAAUACUUGGAAGUAAAGUACUAAUAGUAGGAGUUCCUGAUUAUCAGGUGCCUAUGAUGUGACAGGCACAUUGUGGCCUGUGCUCGACCAGGAGACUGGUGAGUCCUUGUGGAUUUCUUCCCUGCUCAAGUGCAUAAAGCAGGUGUAUUGCACAGGCACUGCACAGGCAGCUGUUUAAUCA